AAGCAUAUCAAUAAGCGGAGGAAAAGAAACUAACAAGGAUUCCCCUAGUAACUGCGAGUGAAGAGGGAAAAGCUCAAAUUUAAAAUCUGACAGUCUUUGGCUGUCCGAGUUGUAAAUUAGAGAAGUGUUAUCCGCUCAAGCCUGUGCAAAAGUCUCUUGGAAAAGGGCAUCAUAGAGGGUGACAAUCCCGUCUUUGGCACAGAUCACUUGCGCUUUUGUGAUACACUCUCGAUGAGUCGAGUUGUUUGGGAAUGCAGCUCCAAAUGGGUGGUAAAUUCCAUCUAAAGCUAAAUAUGGGCGAGAAACCGAUAGCGCACAAGUACCGUGAGGGAAAGAUGAAAAGAACUUUGAAAAGAGAGUUAAACAGUACGUGAAAUUGUUGAAAGGGAAACGCUUGAAGUCAGUCGUAUCCUUCAGAAUCAACCUGACUUUUGGUUGGGUAUACUUUUUGUUGGAUGGGUCAGCAUCAAUUUUGAUCAUUGGAUAAAGGAUUUGGGAAUGUGGCAUCUUUAGAUGUGUUAUAGCCCUUGUUUGUAUACAAUGAUUGGGAUUGAGGAACUCAGUGUGACUUUGGUCUGGGGGUAUUACCUCACACACGCACUUAGGAUGCUGGCAUAAUGGCUUUAAUCGACCCGUCUUGAAACACGGACCAAGGAGUCUAACAUACAUGCAAGUGUUUGGGUGGAAAACUCAAGCGCGUAAUGAAAGUGAAAGUUGAGAACCCUGUCGUGGGGUGCACUGACGCCCGGUCUUGACCUUUUGUGACGGACCUGCGGUAGAGCAUGUAUGUUGGGACCCGAAAGAUGGUGAACUAUGCCUGAAUAGGGUGAAGCCAGAGGAAACUCUGGUGGAAGCUCGUAGCGAUUCUGACGUGCAAAUCGAUCGUCAAAUUUGGGUAUAGGGGCGAAAGACUAAUCGAACCAUCUAGUAGCUGGUUCCCGCC
Molecule: ribosomal RNA, 943 nt
Filed under: Hodophilus foetens
Lineage: Eukaryota; Fungi; Basidiomycota; Agaricomycetes; Agaricales; Clavariaceae
Also listed under: 1 other name
Description: LSU rRNA
Rfam family: Eukaryotic large subunit ribosomal RNA
Source: RNAcentral